UUUCGACGCCCCCAGCAGCUUCGUUCUUACCCGCAGCGGCUCCUUCUCGCUCCUCCGUCGCCAUGGCGGCCUCUUAGUGGUCGCCAUGGAGACGUUCGACACGGGCCGGGGCCCAACUAGCGCUUCUCUCACCUUUCCUGGUCGCCGCCCGGAGAUAAACGCGCUGCCUCCCUCCGGCCCUUCAGGUUGAGGCGUAGUGUCAUCGCAGAGAAGGAAUCUCCAAGAUUGACUUCACUCCAGUUCUUUUGACAAGUUGAAGAAGGUGGGCAUUACCCAGGAUUUUUGUAUUUCUGCUCUACUCUUCUGUCACAGCAGCUAAUAGUAAUGUUUGGCAGUGCAGGGCUUACUUGCAGGAGUGGAUCAGCUUCGAGAAGAAUUAUUGCUGUUAUUUCUUGUCUGCAAAGCUAGAAGAAAAAAAUCAAUAUUAAGAUGGAAUUGGUCUUCAAAUGGACAGAAUAUUUUAGGUUAAGCAUCUACCAUUUAGAUAUAUUAUUUUCAAAUAGUUUAUUCUGGUUUUGAAAAACAUAUUCUUAUUUAAUUUGUUACAGCAAAUAUAAAACAGUAUGAGACUAUGGAAUACAUGCCUAUAACUUGAAAGAACUGCACUGGUAGCACCUCUUCCCCUUAAUACAUUGUUCUUCUCAGAUCCUAAACAAAGAUCCUUGUAGUAUCUGUAUGGCACUAGAUGAAAGGUUAAGUUUUAUUGUACUGUAUCUUGGUUGUUGCAUAUAUGAAUAAACAGUUUAAGGUAAUAUGUAUUAUGUUGGAUAAACUAAAAAAGAUCAAUCAUGCUUAAUAGCACCAUCUCACAUCUUUUGUUAUCAGAAAAAAAUCCACUGUGUCCAAAGGAACUUAUGUUCAAAGAGCUGCCCUUCUAAUUCCACUGUGAUCAGUGUAAUUUGAAUGCUUAAUAUAUUUAUACAUUUUUAUUUCAAUGAGAAUUUGUAUGGCUCGUUGUGAGCGAUGCCUUUUUUGGUGUAAUCCUAUCCAUGUUUAAUCUUUAGUCUGAAGUCUAUGUUAGUUCUACUUAUUCUACAGCAAUUACAUAGUAUGUAAUAUUGUAGAGUUGGUAGAGAAGUAUGCUUUCUUGAGACUAAUAGGAAAUAUUGCAAGAAACAUCUUUAAGACCCAACUAAUGAUAAAAAAAUAACAAAAUGCUUUUUUCCUUCUAAACUAGAUGGUGAAAUUGCAAUUCUUAGCUAUCAUUUAUUCAAGGAUUUAGAAAAUCUUGUCCCUUAAUUUUUAGUGUCUCUUAUCUUCUAGAUCUGACA
Molecule: long non-coding RNA, 1271 nt
Organism: Candoia aspera
Lineage: Eukaryota; Metazoa; Chordata; Lepidosauria; Squamata; Candoiidae
Exons: 3
Source: RefSeq, a predicted model, not a curated record